This 29-nucleotide non-coding RNA is filed under the name Mus musculus (house mouse). Lineage: Eukaryota; Metazoa; Chordata; Mammalia; Rodentia; Muridae. The record is from RNAcentral.
UGCCGGUCAAUUUCAAGUAUCAACUGCUU